UCUGGCUGUUCUCCUCCUGGAACUGUUCAUCUCAACACUACAGCAGCAGAGAUCCAUGGGUGCUGUGGAUUUGCUAUCAUGCCACUGCUACCCCAGCACAGAAGAACACGCUGAGGCUUCCAACAGCAUGCGAAGAAAACAUACCCACGAUGGAAAACGCAACAGAGAAUUUGUCUUUGACACUGUCACUCAUACCUGGCAAGACAAGUGUGUUCAUAAAAGCAGGUGAGGCUACACCAUUGACCCCCUCAGAGAGUCAUGGCUGCUCAGCAGAACAGACCUUGGAAAAGCUGGGCAAGGACAGGUCCAUCAAAUCUGAUACACAAAGGUGACACUCCAGAGUUCAGAGGAGGGGUCAAACAAGGAGAGCUUCCAGGUCCACUGCAGGUUUGUGGCUGGUGAAGAAUACCCCUCUCUCUCUCUCUCUCACCAUUCUCAAAUUCUGAUUUCAUUUUCUGAAUACACCCAAAUUAUGCUAAAUUAAAACAUGAAAGAUGCUGUGACAGGUUUCAUAAUAAACAGGCUCACUGCUUCUCCCCAAACGACGUCUAGUUCUUCUGAGGAAGAGGUGGCCAUGGUCAAGAGUGGGGAGAGCUGCUCUGAAGUUCGAGGCUGCCUUUGCCUACUCUUCUCACAAAGAAAAGAGUGGAGUCAGAAAGGCUGACAAGGGCACUGCAUUGAGAGUGCCAAUGUAGCAUAAGUCACCUAAAGCCAUGCCUGAUCUUAGUUCUAGCAACUUGUCCCAUGAAACCACCUAAACCUGUUAUGGAAAAGGUUGUAAUGAGUCCUACAGGGUGCUGCCUCCCACCUCCCUCAUACAUUGUUUUUGAAAAAACGCAACCAGAUUUUCAUGGCUCUGGAGCAGACUAAGGGCUCUUACACACUCUCUCAACUAAGCAAGAGCGUGUUUAUUGCCUUGACAUCCUCAACAAACAUCUCCCAUCCUUAAAAACAAAAAUUAAAAUGGGCAAAUUCAGUGUAGAGACACCCUGAUGGACACCCUCAGAAGAACAUGGAGUUUUGGGAGGUAGCACACAUGCACAGUGCGAAUUUGCAUGUGAAUGGUCUCAGUCCAUCAACAGACAUGGUAAGGUGCAGCCAUGGGGCUUCUUCCACUCUCAGCUGGGAUUGCUGGACAUGGUAAAUAUGUGCUCAAAGGGAAUGUAAAUAUCUGUGCCAAGCUGGGAGCAAACACACAUGAUGCUGGAGUUUCCUCCAGGCCAUGAAAGAGGAUUCCUGUUUCCCUCCUACACUCCCACAAAUAGUUUGUUUGCUAAAGGCGAACUUAGUAAAUGCCUCUGGGAAACAGAGUCUGUAAAUAUGAACAAUUCCUGUUGGCUCGGAGCUGCCCUCAGUAUGCAAGAAUGUGAAAGCUUUCCAUCCUCAAUGCAAAAGGUCUUUCUUAUUCAGGCCCUCAAUUAUUUCUAAACUUAGAAAUUAAAACCAGCAAUAACCAGUGUUCUGGUGUUCGUCUCACAUCCAGUUUGUCCAAAGUAUGUCUCAACCCUC
Long non-coding RNA from Vidua macroura (Pin-tailed whydah), 1509 nucleotides. RefSeq lists it as uncharacterized. The transcript is spliced from 4 exons. Lineage: Eukaryota; Metazoa; Chordata; Aves; Passeriformes; Viduidae. The record is from RefSeq and is a predicted model, not a curated record.